This 253-nucleotide ribosomal RNA is filed under the name uncultured bacterium. Its description in RNAcentral is "partial 16S ribosomal RNA". It matches the Rfam family "Bacterial small subunit ribosomal RNA", at positions 524 to 776 of the family's 1533-position model. The record is from RNAcentral.
UACGUAGGGGGCAAGCGUUGUCCGGAAUCAUUGGGCGUAAAGAGCGUGUAGGCGGCCCGGUAAGUCCGCUGUGAAAGUCCAGGGCUCAACCCUGGGAUGCCGGUGGAUACUGUCGGGCUCGAGUCCGGAAGAGGAGUGUGGAAUUCCUGGUGUAGCGGUGGAAUGCGCAGAUAUCAGGAGGAACACCGAUGGCGAAGGCAGGUCACUGGGCCGCAACUGACGCUGAGGAGCGAAAGCAUGGGGAGCGAACAGG